RNAcentral lists this ribosomal RNA (402 nucleotides) under bacterium. Its description in RNAcentral is "partial 16S ribosomal RNA". It matches the Rfam family "Bacterial small subunit ribosomal RNA", at positions 355 to 776 of the family's 1533-position model. The record is from RNAcentral.
UGGGGAAUUUUGCACAAUGGGGGAAACCCUGAUGCUGCGACGCCGCGUGAUUUAGAAGGCCUUCGGGUUGUUAAAAUCUUUUCUAUGGGAAGAAAAUGACAGUACCAUAGGAAUAAGGACCUGCUAAUUACGUGCCAGCAGCCCCGGUAAUACGUAAGGUCCGAGGGUUGUCCGGAAACAUUGGGCGUAAAGGGUACGUAGGUGGGUAAGCAAGUUAGAAGUGAAAUCCUAUAGCUCAACUAUAGUAAGCUUUUAAAACUGCUCAUCUUGAGGUAAGGAAGGGAAAGUGGAAUUCCUAGUGUAGCGGUGAAAUGCGCAGAUAUUAGGAGGAAUACCGGUGGCGAAGGCGACUUUCUGGCCAUAACCUGACGCUGAGGUACGAAAGCGUGGGUAGCAAACAGG